AUACGGAGGAUCCGAGCGUUAUCCGGAUUUAUUGGGUUUAAAGGGUGAGCAGGCGGCCAUUUAAGUCAGCGGUUAAAUCGUGGGGCUCAACCCCAUUCUGCCGUUGAUACUGGGUGGCUUGAUUGCGGUCGAGGUUGGCGGAAUUCGUUGUGUAGCGGUGAAAUGCAUAGAUAUGACGAAGAACACCGAUUGCGUAGGCAGCUGACCAGACCGCAAAUGACGCUCAUGCACGAAAGUGCGGGGAUCGAACAGGAUUAGAUACCCUGGUAGUCCGCACAGUAAACGAUGAAUACUUGUUUUCGGCGAUAUAAUGUCGGAGGCAAAGCGAAAGCGAUAAGUAUUCCACCUGGGGAGUACGCCGGCAACGGUGAAACUCAAAGGAAUUGACGGGG
This 392-nucleotide ribosomal RNA is filed under the name uncultured bacterium. RNAcentral describes it as "partial 16S ribosomal RNA". It matches the Rfam family "Bacterial small subunit ribosomal RNA", at positions 523 to 918 of the family's 1533-position model. The record is from RNAcentral.